CGGACGGGUGAGUAAUGUCUGGGAAACUGCCUGAUGGAGGGGGAUAACUACUGGAAACGGUAGCUAAUACCGCAUAACGUCGCAAGACCAAAGAGGGGGACCUUCGGGCCUCUUGCCAUCGGAUGUGCCCAGAUGGGAUUAGCUAGUAGGUAGGGUAACGGCUCACCUAGGCGACGAUCCCUAGCUGGUCUGAGAGGAUGACCAGCCACACUGGAACUGAGACACGGUCCAG
RNAcentral lists this ribosomal RNA (232 nucleotides) under uncultured bacterium. Its description in RNAcentral is "partial 16S ribosomal RNA". It matches the Rfam family "Bacterial small subunit ribosomal RNA", at positions 99 to 334 of the family's 1533-position model. The record is from RNAcentral.